RNAcentral lists this ribosomal RNA (305 nucleotides) under uncultured bacterium. RNAcentral describes it as "bacterial SSU rRNA". It matches the Rfam family "Bacterial small subunit ribosomal RNA", at positions 335 to 658 of the family's 1533-position model. The record is from RNAcentral.
AGCCUACGGGACGCAGCAGUGGGGAAUAUUGCACAAUGGGGGAAACCCUGAUGCAGCGAUGCCGCGUGGAGGAAGAAGGUUUUCGGAUUGUAAACUCCUUUUAUCAGGGACGAUAAUGACGGUACCUGAAGAAAAAGCUCCGGCUAACUACGUGCCAGCAGCCGCGGUAAUACGUAGGGAGCGAGCGUUGUCCGGAAUUACUGGUUGUAAAGGGAGCGUAGGCGGCACGGCAAGUCAGAUGUGAAAACUGCGGGCUCAACCUCCAGACUGCAUUUGAAACUGCUGUUCUUGAGUGAAGAAGAGGU